This 274-nucleotide ribosomal RNA is filed under the name uncultured bacterium. RNAcentral describes it as "partial 16S ribosomal RNA". It matches the Rfam family "Bacterial small subunit ribosomal RNA", at positions 523 to 796 of the family's 1533-position model. The record is from RNAcentral.
AUACGGAGGGGGUUAGCGUUGUUCGGAAUUACUGGGCGUAAAGCGCACGUAGGCGGAUUGGAAAGUUGGGGGUGAAAUCCCAGGGCUCAACCCUGGAACUGCCUCCAAAACCAACAGUCUAGAGUUCGAGAGAGGUGAGUGGAAUUCCAAGUGUAGAGGUGAAAUUCGUAGAUAUUUGGAGGAACACCAGUGGCGAAGGCGGCUCACUGGCUCGAUACUGACGCUGAGGUGCGAAAGCGUGGGGAGCAAACAGCAUUAGAUACCCCAGUAGUCC